This 252-nucleotide ribosomal RNA is filed under the name uncultured bacterium. RNAcentral describes it as "partial 16S ribosomal RNA". It matches the Rfam family "Bacterial small subunit ribosomal RNA", at positions 524 to 776 of the family's 1533-position model. The record is from RNAcentral.
UACGUAGGGUGCAAGCGUUAAUCGGAAUUACUGGGCGUAAAGCGUGCGCAGGCGGUUGUGCAAGACCGAUGUGAAAUCCCCGGGCUCAACCUGGGAAUGGCAUUGGUGACUGCACGGCUAGAGUGUGUCAGAGGGGGGUAGAAUCCACGUGUAGCAGUGAAAUGCGUAGAGAUGUGGAGGAAUACCGAUGGCGAAGGCAGCCCCCUGGGAUAACACUGACGCUCAUGCACGAAAGCGUGGGGAGCAAACAGG